CCUACGGGAGGCAGCAGUAGGGAAUAUUGCUCAAUGGGGGAAACCCUGAAGCAGCAACGCCGCGUGGAGGAUGAAGGUUUUCGGAUUGUAAACUCCUUUUGUUAGAGAAGAUAAUGACGGUAUCUAACGAAUAAGCACCGGCUAACUCCGUGCCAGCAGCCGCGGUAAUACGGAGGGUGCAAGCGUUACUCGGAAUCACUGGGCGUAAAGAGCGCGUAGGCGGGAUAGCAAGUCAGAUGUGAAAUCCUAGGGCUUAACCAUAGAACUGCAUUUGAAACUGUUAUUCUAGAGUAUGGGAGAGGUAGGUGGAAUUCUUGGUGUAGGGGUAAAAUCCGUAGAGAUCAAGAGGAAUACUCAUGGCGAAGGCGACCUGCUAGAACAUAACUGACGCUGAUGCGCGAAGGCGUGGGGAGCAAACAGGAUUAGAUACCCGUGUAGUC
This 440-nucleotide ribosomal RNA is filed under the name uncultured bacterium. RNAcentral describes it as "partial 16S ribosomal RNA". It matches the Rfam family "Bacterial small subunit ribosomal RNA", at positions 338 to 795 of the family's 1533-position model. The record is from RNAcentral.